UACGUAGGGGGCAAGCGUUGUCCGGAUUUAUUGGGCGUAAAGAGCGUGUAGGCGGCCAGGUAGGUCAGCUGUGAAAACUCGAGGCUCAACCUCGAGACGCCGGUUGAAACCAUCUGGCUAGAGUCCGGAAGAGGAGAGUGGAAUUCCUGGUGUAGCGGUGAAAUGCGCAGAUAUCAGGAAGAACACCCGUGGCUAAGGCGGCUCUCUAGUACGGUACUGACGCUGAGACGCGAAAGCGUGGGGAUCAAACAGG
This 253-nucleotide ribosomal RNA is filed under the name uncultured bacterium. Its description in RNAcentral is "partial 16S ribosomal RNA". It matches the Rfam family "Bacterial small subunit ribosomal RNA", at positions 524 to 776 of the family's 1533-position model. The record is from RNAcentral.